UCGGGAAUUUUGGGCAAUGGGCGAAAGCCUGACCCAGCAACGCCGCGUGAAGGAUGAAGUAUUUCGGUAUGUAAACUUCGUAAGAAUAGGAAGAAUAAAUGACGGUACUAUUUGUAAGGUCCGGCUAACUACGUGCCAGCAGCCGCGGUAAUACGUAGGGACCAAGCGUUGUUCGGAUUUACUGGGCGUAAAGGGCGCGUAGGCGGCGUGGUAAGUCAUCUGUGAAAUCUCCGAGCUUAACUCGGAACGGUCAGAUGAUACUGCUGUGCUAGAGUACAGAAGGGGCAAUCGGAAUUCUUGGUGUAGCGGUGAAAUGCGUAGAUAUCAAGAGGAACACCUGAGGUGAAGACGGGUUGCUGGGCUGAUACUGACGCUGAGGCGCGAAAGCUAGGGUAGCAAACGGGAUUAGAUACCCGUGUAGUCCCUGAGCGGGCUGGCAAGGCGCAU
RNAcentral lists this ribosomal RNA (447 nucleotides) under uncultured bacterium. RNAcentral describes it as "bacterial SSU rRNA". It matches the Rfam family "Bacterial small subunit ribosomal RNA", at positions 355 to 825 of the family's 1533-position model. The record is from RNAcentral.